UUAAUUACUGGAUAAAGGCAUACAAGUCCAGAAUACACAGGUCCUGUCUCAAAGACGUGAGCUGUGCUUCAUGUCAGGAAUAGCUCUCUUCCCUUAUGGACUCCCAAGUAAAACACCUGCAGGUGUGGUGAGCUGGAACUUGGAAAAGCCAAAACUGCAAAACCGAAAGGCGCACACGUAGGUGCUGAAGAGCCUUCCAUGUGGGAAGUUUAGCAAGGAUAGAUGGAAUAGAAGAACAAGUGUUUUUCAAUUCAGCAUCUGCUCUAGAAACAUGAAAAUGUAAAGCUCGCACUGGAAAAAAAUUAGGAUUUUAGUGCUUGGAGAAAAUAUGUAGAUAAUUUUUAAAUUGCAUUUGUGUUUUUAACAUCCCUGUUCUUUCAGAAAGAUGUAAUGAAGGGUGAACCAGUACAUACCGUGUUACAUUAAUGCUAGAAAUUAAAAAAAAAAAAAACAAACACACAAACCCCCUAACAAUGCAAAAGGGUAAUGUAAUAACAAAAAAAACCCCAAAAGGGUAAUGUAAAAACAAAAAACCCUGGUUAACUACCAGGGUUUAUGAAAUAGUAAAAAGUGAUAUGUCUUUUAAUAGUUUAGGAAUUAAUUAUAAUUCUGAGCUAUUGCAAGGCAAGAGAAAUUAAAACAACUCAGUUUUCCAACUUUCUGUCAUUUGAACUUUUAUAAUGCAUCAGGGAGGUAAAAAAACUAUUGUGGUCUAAUAUU
This 720-nucleotide long non-coding RNA is filed under the name Manacus vitellinus (golden-collared manakin). RNAcentral describes it as "lncRNA (ENSMVIG00005014446.1)". The record is from RNAcentral. Lineage: Eukaryota; Metazoa; Chordata; Aves; Passeriformes; Pipridae.